UGCCGCGUGAGUGAUGAAGGCCCUAGGGUCGUAAAGCUCUUUCAACUGUGAAGAUAAUGACGGUAGCAGUAGAAGAAACCCCGGCUAACUCCGUGCCAGCAGCCGCGGUAAU
This 112-nucleotide ribosomal RNA is filed under the name uncultured bacterium. Its description in RNAcentral is "partial 16S ribosomal RNA". It matches the Rfam family "Bacterial small subunit ribosomal RNA", at positions 395 to 524 of the family's 1533-position model. The record is from RNAcentral.